This 258-nucleotide ribosomal RNA is filed under the name uncultured bacterium. RNAcentral's name for it is "partial 16S ribosomal RNA". It matches the Rfam family "Bacterial small subunit ribosomal RNA", at positions 96 to 354 of the family's 1533-position model. The record is from RNAcentral.
CGGCGGACGGGUGAGUAACGCGUGGGCAACCUGCCUUACACAGGGGGAUAACAGUUAGAAAUGACUGCUAAUACCGCAUAAGACCCCAGAACCGCAUGGUUCUGAGGUAAAAACUCCGGUGGUGUAAGAUGGGCCCGCGUCUGAUUAGGUAGUUGGUGAGGUAACGGCCCACCAAGGCGACGAUCAGUAGCCGGACUGAGAGGUUGGCCGGCCACAUUGGGACUGAGACACGGCCCAGACUCCUACGGGAGGCAGCAG